GGUGGUGGUAACUGUUUCAGACAAAGUGCUUUAUCAAGUAAUAAAGUAGUGUCUAUACUGAGUGAGUGAGGCAGGCAUCGAGUGAGUGAGGCAGGCAUCGAGUGAAUGAGGCAGGCAGGCAUCGAGUGAAUGAGGCAGGCAGGCAUCGAGUGAAUGAGGCAGGCAGGCAGUGAGUUAGUGAGUGAGGCAGGCAGUGAGUUAGUGAGUGAGGCAGGCAGUGAGUUAGUGAGUGAGGCAGGCAGUGAGUUAGUGAGUGAGGCAGGCAGUGAGUUAGUGAGUGAGGCAGGCAGUGAGUUAGUGAGUGAGGCAGGCAGUGAGUGAGUGAGGCAGUGAGUGAGUGAGGCAGGCAGGCAUCGAGUGAGUGAGGCAGGCAGGCAUCGAGUGAGUGAGUGAGGC
Molecule: long non-coding RNA, 396 nt
Organism: Ictalurus punctatus (channel catfish)
Lineage: Eukaryota; Metazoa; Chordata; Actinopteri; Siluriformes; Ictaluridae
Source: Ensembl